Molecule: ribosomal RNA, 468 nt
Filed under: uncultured bacterium
Lineage: Bacteria
Description: partial 16S ribosomal RNA
Rfam family: Bacterial small subunit ribosomal RNA
Source: RNAcentral
GACGAACGCUGGCGGCGUGCUUAACACAUGCAAGUCGAACGGAAAGGCCCUGCUUUUGUGGGGUGCUCGAGUGGCGAAUGGGUGAGUAACACGUGAGUAACCUGCCCUUGACUUUGGGAUAACUUCAGGAAACUGGGGCUAAUACCGGAUAGGAGCUCCUGCUGCAUGGUGGGGGUUGGAAAGUUUCGGCGGUUGGGGAUGGACUCGCGGCUUAUCAGCUUGUUGGUGGGGUAGUGGCUUACCAAGGCUUUGACGGGUAGCCGGCCUGAGAGGGUGACCGGCCACAUUGGGACUGAGAUACGGCCCAGACUCCUACGGGAGGCAGCAGUGGGGAAUAUUGCACAAUGGGCGGAAGCCUGAUGCAGCAACGCCGCGUGCGGGAUGACGGCCUUCGGGUUGUAAACCGCUUUCGCCUGUGACGAAGCGUGAGUGACGGUAAUGGGUAAAGAAGUACCGGCUAACUACGUG